This 74-nucleotide transfer RNA is filed under the name Caerostris darwini. RNAcentral describes it as "tRNA-Pro". It matches the Rfam family "tRNA". From Rfam's summary of the family: Transfer RNA (tRNA) molecules are approximately 80 nucleotides in length. Their secondary structure includes four short double-helical elements and three loops (D, anti-codon, and T loops). Further hydrogen bonds mediate the characteristic L-shaped molecular structure. tRNAs have two regions of fundamental functional importance: the anti-codon, which is responsible for specific mRNA codon recognition, and the 3' end, to which the tRNAs corresponding amino acid is attached (by aminoacyl-tRNA synthetases). tRNAs cope with the degeneracy of the genetic code in two manners: having more than one tRNA (with a specific anti-codon) for a particular amino acid; and 'wobble' base-pairing, i.e. permitting non-standard base-pairing at the 3rd anti-codon position. Lineage: Eukaryota; Metazoa; Arthropoda; Arachnida; Araneae; Araneidae. The record is from RNAcentral.
UGCUUGGUGGUCUAGGGGUAUGAUUCUCGCUUUGGGUGCGAGAGGUCCCGGGUUCAAAUCCCGGCCGGGCCCAU